RNAcentral lists this long non-coding RNA (1094 nucleotides) under Homo sapiens (human). Its description in RNAcentral is "HSALNT0097581". Lineage: Eukaryota; Metazoa; Chordata; Mammalia; Primates; Hominidae. The record is from RNAcentral.
UCAAGGUGCAUCAAUGAGCAAAACAAAGAUCCCUGCUAGUGGAGAGGAAACUUUAAGGAGAGUUUGACAGGGCUCUGACCAGCUCACAAGGCUGCUUUGGAUCUUGAAAGAACCUCCUGCUCUCUGCGGUGUUGCCUCUCACCAGUAUCUCUAGCAGCCAGGCUGGAGGCUGCCGGGGCUCGAAUUGGGUGAGGAAGGAAAUGUCAAACCGCAGGCCUCAGCAGAGGAGCAGCAAAGAGCUGAGUGGGGGCAGAACAGGUCCUGGCAGUUGGCUUGCAGCAAAGUGUGGGCUCCCAGGGUCCUCCUGCUUUAAGGGGCUACAGAAAGCACCUUCCAAGCCUGUGGGACCACUGCCAGGGUCUGGUGGACGGUGCAACAGUGAUGGUGGGCAUAGCAGGGAGGUGGUUGCUAUGGCUAUUGCUAGGUGCAAACCUUCAAAUUACACCCUACCCCCAGAGGACCAAGUGACAGUGAGUGGAGGGAGGUGACUCAUUCUCCCUUCACCCCAUAAACCCCUGGCCUCGCUCAGGACCAGAGCAAGAAGUGAUGGGGGCUGGGCAGCCAUAGACAGCAGUCCUCUCUGCUUGCCUUUGUUUAAGGGACUAGCUGGCCCUGGAAAUGGGCUGAACCUCCCCACAGGAAGCCAGGCCCGUGUAGGAAGGCAGCAUUCUACAAUGACCUAGGUUCCAGCCCAGCUGCAUCCCUAACUUACAGCAUGGUGGGGGCCAGUCUUCAUCUUCUCAGUCUAAGGUCUCUCCUGGUAAUGUACAAGGUACAGGGCCUGCAGGCACAGACAGUCUAACUACAAUGUCUGGCCCCAAGGGUGGCGCCCACUGUGUGAUCUCAGACAAGGCAGCUGCCCUCACUUGGCCCCAGAUUCCUUAUCAGCACAAUACAGGGGUUAAACCUGAUUAGGGAAUCCCUGAUGGGCCUGAUCAUCAUGAUUACUUAGCUGUACCUGUUGCAAACACUGAUCACCAGGCCCAGCCUAGACCUACCUGAACGGACUCUCUGAGGAGAAGCCUGAGGCUCAGUGACAUCAACCGGCCCCCACGUGAUUUUUAUUAUCAUCCAAAAAGCUUGUGAAAUAAAUC